GGGAGUGUGGCUCACUGGCAAGAGCCCGGGGUUGGGAGUCGGGGGUCACGGGUUCGAAUCCCGGCUCUGCCA
Molecule: transfer RNA, 72 nt
Filed under: Ornithorhynchus anatinus (platypus)
Lineage: Eukaryota; Metazoa; Chordata; Mammalia; Monotremata; Ornithorhynchidae
Rfam family: tRNA
About the family: Transfer RNA (tRNA) molecules are approximately 80 nucleotides in length.
Source: Rfam by way of RNAcentral